GAGCUCGGACUUUGCUGGCGGGCCAUCCACCAUUGGAUGUCUUGAGCGUUAGUACUAUAGGUGAGGGCCAUCUGCAAUUGGAGUCGGGGGCGAAGUCCGGCUCCCGUAGGAGUCCGGACGAAGUCCACCUGUAGUCGGAGUCAGGGAUGAAGACCAGCUCCCAUGGGAGUCCGGAUGAAGUCCACUUGCAGUCAGAGUCGGGGAUGAAGUCUGGCUCUCGUGGG
Molecule: long non-coding RNA, 224 nt
Filed under: Elaeis guineensis (African oil palm)
Lineage: Eukaryota; Viridiplantae; Streptophyta; Magnoliopsida; Arecales; Arecaceae
Description: long non-coding RNA (EGUI_LNC082297)
Source: RNAcentral